Molecule: ribosomal RNA, 271 nt
Filed under: uncultured Symbiodinium
Lineage: Eukaryota; Dinophyceae; Suessiales; Symbiodiniaceae
Description: partial Bacterial large subunit ribosomal RNA
Rfam family: Bacterial large subunit ribosomal RNA
Source: RNAcentral
AGCUGAAUGUAUAGGCUGGUUGGGGGGAACGCGGGGAAGUGAAACAUCUCAGUACCCGUAGGAGAAGAUAUUCCGUGAGUAGUGGCGAGCGAAAGCGGAUGAUGGUUAAACCGUGUGCGUGUGAUACUCGGCAGGGGUUGCGUGUGCGGGGUUGUGGGGCUGUCCUGUUUUCUCUUCUGCCGGAGAGGGGGCGCGUGUGCUGGCUGGUAGCUGAAUCGUCUGGGAAGGCGUGGCGUAGUGGGUGAUACCCCCGUAGGCGGAACUGGUUGGU